Long non-coding RNA from Bos taurus (domestic cattle), 1170 nucleotides. Lineage: Eukaryota; Metazoa; Chordata; Mammalia; Artiodactyla; Bovidae. The record is from Ensembl.
AGUGAGCUAGAAGGAGAGGAGAAGUGUGGUGUCUGUGCUGCAAAACAAGUGAAGAACAUCUGUUGAGAAGAGGGGCCACUGACCAUUGCUGACAGAGUAUCUCUGCAGACCGCAAGAACGCAGGGCCGAGACACUGCCUCCUGGCACGCACUCAGCCAGCACCAGCUACGGAUCAAACACCAGUUCUGCUGCCCAUGCCAGAUGCCCACUGAGGUGAUAUGAUGAAACCAGAGCUUUAAGAGGCCUUGAACUUCUUCCAAGUCACAGUGCAGACAUUUGACCCCAGGACUGCACAUCUCCAGGAUGAACUCCUUGUAUUUCUAUCUUCUUCCCUGAAAAUAUGUCUCUGUCUUGAUCCCUGGGUCUUGGAGGAAGAAAAGGUCUUUCAACUCAAAGUUUCCUCCUCCAUCUUGAUCUUGAUUUCCUCCUUUUUCUCUGCACUUUGCUUCUUUGGCUCUGCCCCUUCCCCUCUCAUAUGGCUCAGUCCCUCCUCCCUACAAAGAUGCGCGGUGUCCCUGGCUUCUCCAACACACUCCUGCGUGAUCUGCCUCCUUUGUUUCACUGUUAACUUGUCAAUUUGGCCACCUUUUCUGCUCCUUCAUGAGCUUCUUGACCUGUCCUGUCACCUGUUCCAUGAACCAAGCCUAGCGCCCUCCCUGGCUCUGUGUGUCCUUGGCUCCCUUCUACUUCCUCUUGGAUGGGCACCUGGACUGUCUCCUCCCCUUCUAUUUCUCUGCCUGGGGCAGUGCCCUGAAUAGCAAGGGUAAUGGUGAUGACCUCACCUUCAGAACUGGGCAAAAAUCAGACAACUCCUUCCCAGGGCUCAGGGAGAUGGCUGAAGCAGGGCUCCCAGGGAAAUUCCUUUGGGCUGGAGUUCUGUUCAGCAGAAUGACGAUAUACUCUUACCAUUUUUAGAACAGUGAUUACCAAAUGGAAAUACCCUAUUCACUAGAGACUGAACCCGAAGUUACUAGCUUCAUAUCUAAAUGUCAUUCAGCUCUUCACUGUAACCAAGGCUCUGAGAAAUAGAGACACAUGACUACAUGCUAGGGGAUUCAAUUCCUGUUUUUCCUUCCUGUUUGUCCUCUGUUCAAAUCAAAAAAGAAAUACCUAAAAGAAAUAACUUCUUGGUAUUGUUAUCCUGAUAACAUAUUAUUACUACAUCUGUGG